RNAcentral lists this ribosomal RNA (1064 nucleotides) under Clostridiaceae bacterium. RNAcentral describes it as "partial 23S ribosomal RNA". It matches the Rfam family "Bacterial large subunit ribosomal RNA", at positions 1814 to 2874 of the family's 2925-position model. Lineage: Bacteria; Bacillati; Bacillota; Clostridia; Eubacteriales; Clostridiaceae. The record is from RNAcentral.
CACAGCUCUCUGCUAAAUCGAAAGAUGACGUAUAGGGGGUGACGCCUGCCCGGUGCUGGAAGGUUAAGGGGAGUGCUUAGGCGCAAGCCGAAGGUGCGAACUUAAGCCCCAGUAAACGGCGGCCGUAACUAUAACGGUCCUAAGGUAGCGAAAUUCCUUGUCAGGUAAGUUCUGACCCGCACGAAUGGCGUAACGAUUUGGGCACUGUCUCAACAGCCCGCCCGGCGAAAUUGUAGUACCGGUGAAGAUGCCGGUUUCCCGCAACUAGACGGAAAGACCCCAUGGAGCUUCACUGUAGCUUGAUAUUGGAUCUCGGUAUUCCAUGUACAGGAUAGGUGGGAGGCUAGGAAGCAAGUGCGCCAGCAUUUGUGGAGCCAACCUUGGGAUACCACUCUUGGGGUAUUGGGAUUCUAACCUGCGCCCAUGAAUCUGGGCGGGGGACACUGUCAGGUGGGCAGUUUGACUGGGGCGGUCGCCUCCAAAAGAGUAACGGAGGCGCUCAAAGGUUCGUUCAGCACGGACGGAAAUCGUGCGGUGAGUGUAAACGCAGAAACGAGCCUAACUGCGAGAAUGACGGUUCGAGCAGUAACGAAAGUUGGAGUUAGUGAUCCGGCGGUAUGUGAAUGGAAAUGCCGUCGCUCAACGGAUAAAAGCUACCCUGGGGAUAACAGGCUGAUCUCCCCCAAGAGUCCACAUCGACGGGGAGGUUUGGCACCUCGAUGUCGGCUCAUCGCAUCCUGGGGCUGAAUUCGGUCCCAAGGGUUUGGCUGUUCGCCAAUUAAAGCGGUACGCGAGCUGGGUUCAGAACGUCGUGAGACAGUUCGGUCCCUAUCUGUUGCGGGCGCAGGAAUAUUGAAAGGAGCUGUCCUUAGUACGAGAGGACCGGGAUGGACGUACCGCUGGUGCACCAGUUGUUCCGCCAGGGGCAUAGCUGGGUAGCUAAGUACGGACGAGAUAAACGCUGAAGGCAUCUAAGCGUGAAACUCCCCUUAAGAUCAGUAUUCCCAUCCUUCGGGAGUAAGGCCCCAUGUAGACUACAUGGUUGAUAGGUCAGAAGUGGAAGU